ACCACUGCCCUGUUCAAAGGGUUAGUCCUGUUAUCACCUUGUUAAACCUGGGCUCGGUGUAGGGUAGACAAUGUCCAGCUGCAAGGCCUAUUUUGUUUUUAACGUCCU
Non-coding RNA from Chelonoidis abingdonii (Abingdon island giant tortoise), 108 nucleotides. NCBI's taxonomy places the organism in Eukaryota, Metazoa, Chordata, Testudines, Testudinidae. The record is from RefSeq and is a predicted model, not a curated record.